RNAcentral lists this unclassified non-coding RNA (142 nucleotides) under Sorangium cellulosum So ce56. RNAcentral's name for it is "sce_gcvT_2". The record is from RNAcentral. Lineage: Bacteria; Pseudomonadati; Myxococcota; Polyangiales; Polyangiaceae.
GCCCCCGGCGAGGUCGCCGCGAUCUGAGCGCGUUCGUCGUGCGUUCGUUGCGCCUUGGUCGGGCGUUGGUGGAGCGUUCGUGGACAUGGCGCGCGCUUCCACGGGCGCCUCGCGCCGGCGGCGCGGCCCUCUCGCCGCGCCG